GCUUGACUUGCUCAGUCGGUUGAGCAUGAGACUCUUAAUCUCAGGGUCGUGGGCUCAAGCCCCACGUUGGGCG
RNAcentral lists this transfer RNA (73 nucleotides) under Alligator sinensis (Chinese alligator). It matches the Rfam family "tRNA". Rfam says of the family: Transfer RNA (tRNA) molecules are approximately 80 nucleotides in length. Lineage: Eukaryota; Metazoa; Chordata; Crocodylia; Alligatoridae. The record is from Rfam by way of RNAcentral.